Molecule: ribosomal RNA, 253 nt
Filed under: uncultured bacterium
Lineage: Bacteria
Description: partial 16S ribosomal RNA
Rfam family: Bacterial small subunit ribosomal RNA
Source: RNAcentral
UACAGAGGUCUCAAGCGUCGUUCGGAUUCAUUGGGCGUAAAGGGCGUGUAGGUGGCGCCGUAAGUGGGGUGUGAAAUCUCGGGGCUUAACUCCGAAACUGCAUUCCAUACUGCGGUGCUUGAGGACUGGAGAGGAGACUGGAAUUCAUGGUGUAGCAGUGAAAUGCGUAGAGAUCAAGAGGAAGACCAGUGGCGAAGGCGGGUCUCUGGACAGUUCCUGACACUGAGACACGAAGGCCAGGGGAGCAAACGGG